CAGCAGCCACGGUAAUACGAAGGGGGCUAGCGCUGUUCGGAUUUACUGGGCGUAAAGGGUGCGUAGGCGGACUGAUAAGUCAGGGGUGAAAUCCCAAGGCUCAACCUUGGAACUGCCUUUGAUACUGUUAGUCUUGAGUUCGAGAGAGGUGAGUGGAACUGCGAGUGUAGAGGUGAAAUUCGUAGAUAUUCGCAAGAACACCAGUGGCGAAGGCGGCUCACUGGCUCGAAACUGACGCUGAGGCACGAAAGCGUGGGGAGCAAACAGGAUUAGAUACCCCAGUAGUCCCUGUCUCUUAUAC
RNAcentral lists this ribosomal RNA (301 nucleotides) under uncultured bacterium. RNAcentral describes it as "partial 16S ribosomal RNA". It matches the Rfam family "Bacterial small subunit ribosomal RNA", at positions 509 to 807 of the family's 1533-position model. The record is from RNAcentral.